GAUGAACGCUGGCGGCGUGCCUAAUACAUGCAAGUCGAGCGAACAGACGAGGAGCUUGCUCCUCUGACGUUAGCGGCGGACGGGUGAGUAACACGUGGAUAACCUACCUAUAAGACUGGGAUAACUUCGGGAAACCGGAGCUAAUACCGGAUAAUAUAUUGAACCGCAUGGUUCAAUAGUGAAAGACGGUUUUACUGUCACUUAUAGAUGGAUCCGCGCCGCAUUAGCUAGUUGGUAAGGUAACGGCUUACCAAGGCAACGAUGCGUAGCCGACCUGAGAGGGUUAUCGGCCACACUGGAACUGAGACACGGUCCAGACUCCUACGGGAGGCAGCAGUAGGGAAUCUUCCGCAAUGGGCGAAAGCCUGACGGAGCAACGCCGCGUGAGUGAUGAAGGUCUUCGGAUCGUAAAACUCUGUUAUUAGGGAAGAACAAAUGUGUAAGUAACUAUGCACGUCUUGACGGUACCUAAUCAGAAAGCCACGGCUAACUACGUG
Molecule: ribosomal RNA, 497 nt
Filed under: uncultured bacterium
Lineage: Bacteria
Description: partial 16S ribosomal RNA
Rfam family: Bacterial small subunit ribosomal RNA
Source: RNAcentral